RNAcentral lists this ribosomal RNA (1036 nucleotides) under Curvularia verruculosa. Its description in RNAcentral is "SSU rRNA". It matches the Rfam family "Eukaryotic small subunit ribosomal RNA", at positions 76 to 1120 of the family's 1831-position model. The record is from RNAcentral. Lineage: Eukaryota; Fungi; Ascomycota; Dothideomycetes; Pleosporales; Pleosporaceae.
AUACCGUGAAACUGCGAAUGGCUCAUUAAAUCAGUUAUCGUUUAUUUGAUAAUACCUUACUACUUGGAUAACCGUGGUAAUUCUAGAGCUAAUACAUGCUGAAAAUCCCGACUUCGGAAGGGAUGUGUUUAUUAGAUAAAAAACCAAUGCCCUUCGGGGCUUUUUGGUGAUUCAUGAUAACUUUACGGAUCGCAUAGCCUUGCGCUGGCGACGGUUCAUUCAAAUUUCUGCCCUAUCAACUUUCGAUGGUAAGGUAUUGGCUUACCAUGGUUUCAACGGGUAACGGGGAAUUAGGGUUCGAUUCCGGAGAGGGAGCCUGAGAAACGGCUACCACAUCCAAGGAAGGCAGCAGGCGCGCAAAUUACCCAAUCCCGACACGGGGAGGUAGUGACAAUAAAUACUGAUACAGGGCUCUUUUGGGUCUUGUAAUUGGAAUGAGUACAAUUUAAACCUCUUAACGAGGAACAAUUGGAGGGCAAGUCUGGUGCCAGCAGCCGCGGUAAUUCCAGCUCCAAUAGCGUAUAUUAAAGUUGUUGCAGUUAAAAAGCUCGUAGUUGAAACUUGGGUCUGGCUGGCGGGUCCGCCUCACCGCGUGCACUCGUCCGGCCGGGCCUUCCUUCUGAAGAACCUCAUGCCCUUCACUGGGCGUGUUGGGGAAUCAGGACUUUUACUUUGAAAAAAUUAGAGUGUUCAAAGCAGGCCUUUGCUCGAAUACGUUAGCAUGGAAUAAUAAAAUAGGGCGUGCGUUUCUAUUUUUGUUGGUUUCUAGAGACGCCGCAAUGAUUAACAGGAACAGUCGGGGGGCAUCAGUAUUCAGUUGUCAGAGGUGAAAUUCUUGGAUUUACUGAAGACUAACUACUGCGAAAGCAUUUGCCAAGGAUGUUUUCAUUAAUCAGUGAACGAAAGUUAGGGGAUCGAAGACGAUCAGAUACCGUCGUAGUCUUAACCGUAAACUAUGCCGACUAGGGAUCGGGCGAUGUUCUUUUUCUGACUCGCUCGGCACCUUACGAGAAAUCAAAGUUUUUGGGUCUGGGGG